Molecule: long non-coding RNA, 595 nt
Organism: Pipra filicauda (Wire-tailed manakin)
Lineage: Eukaryota; Metazoa; Chordata; Aves; Passeriformes; Pipridae
Exons: 5
Source: RefSeq, a predicted model, not a curated record
GCAGCUCCACUUGCAGAGCCUCCUCCAGGGGAACAUUUUUGAUGUGCUCUUGGUCAGGAGAGGAGCAAACCCAAGUUCAGUCUCUCCCCUCCAGCUGCUGCUCUGGGCACAAGAGCUGAUGCCCCAGUGCAUUAAAGGCAGUGGAGGAAGCUGCAGGGCCAGGCUGCAGGCAUCACAUCUGCACCAAGAGGAAGGAAUGAGCGUGGGCUGCUGUGAAGUAUCCGUGCAGGAAUAGAGAACUGGUGUUUUUCUGAGGAUUUCCUGAGUCUGGUUGUAGAGGUACCUCAGUUUUCUGCUGCAAAGAGUUUCAGUGCCCAACCAAUGCGUGUGCAAAAGAACAUCCAUGAUUUCCCUCAGCUUUAUAAUGUUCUGAGUUGAAUGUUUUAAUGACAUAUUCACAAUUAUCUGGGACAAAUGUUUAGAGUCUCCAUGGAUGGUGGCAUCUGUCAUCACACACGGGCUAUUCCAAUGCUUAACUAUUCCUGCAAUCAGAAAAUCAGUCCUGAUUUCCAAUUGGAAUCAUCCCUGUUCAUUUUAAGCCCUUGUCCUGCUCGCUGCAGUCACAGAGAACGGGACAGUUUCUCCUCCCUCCUCU